Molecule: ribosomal RNA, 615 nt
Filed under: Candida tropicalis
Lineage: Eukaryota; Fungi; Ascomycota; Pichiomycetes; Serinales; Debaryomycetaceae
Description: eukaryotic LSU rRNA
Rfam family: Eukaryotic large subunit ribosomal RNA
Source: RNAcentral
UUGCAUAUCAAAAAGCGGAGGAAAAGAAACCAACAGGGAUUGCCUUAGUAGCGGCGAGUGAAGCGGCAAAAGCUCAAAUUUGAAAUCUGGCUCUUUCAGAGUCCGAGUUGUAAUUUGAAGAAGGUAUCUUUGGGUCUGGCUCUUGUCUAUGUUUCUUGGAACAGAACGUCACAGAGGGUGAGAAUCCCGUGCGAUGAGAUGAUCCAGGCCUAUGUAAAGUUCCUUCGAAGAGUCGAGUUGUUUGGGAAUGCAGCUCUAAGUGGGUGGUAAAUUCCAUCUAAAGCUAAAUAUUGGCGAGAGACCGAUAGCGAACAAGUACAGUGAUGGAAAGAUGAAAAGAACUUUGAAAAGAGAGUGAAAAAGUACGUGAAAUUGUUGAAAGGGAAGGGCUUGAGAUCAGACUUGGUAUUUUGUAUGUUACUUCUUCGGGGGUGGCCUCUACAGUUUAUCGGGCCAGCAUCAGUUUGGGCGGUAGGAGAAUUGCGUUGGAAUGUGGCACGGCUUCGGUUGUGUGUUAUAGCCUUCGUCGAUACUGCCAGCCUAGACUGAGGACUGCGGUUUAUACCUAGGAUGUUGGCAUAAUGAUCUUAAGUCGCCCGUCUUGAACACGGACCC